This 475-nucleotide long non-coding RNA is filed under the name Mytilus galloprovincialis (Mediterranean mussel). Lineage: Eukaryota; Metazoa; Mollusca; Bivalvia; Mytilida; Mytilidae. The record is from RNAcentral.
AUUAGUUUAAGUCUUAAAACUUUUGCUCUUCUCUAGAAAAUUCAAACCAUAAUGAAAUAUAAGGAGAUGCGGUAAAAUUUCCAAUUAAUCAACUUUCCACCAAAGACGAAAUGACGGAAAUGCUAGCCUUCUUACAUUGCUACUACAUUUCAGAUCUCCAAAUUACCAUUCCAUUAUAUGAACUGCAUAUUCAAAAAUAUGCAUUGUCACCAAAUUACUUAUAGAGCACGUAUCAUCAUAUUGUUUAACAUUUGUCCGUUCGACCGUUAAUCCCGCACUUAGUAUAUAUAGGGUUAAUUCGGCUAAUUAUUUAGGACUACAGUCGUUUUGCUUCAGCUUUAAAACUAUGUACCUGGUGUUAGUACUCAUAUUAUGGGUGCGCAUAUCGUCUGGAUUUUCUUUUUUGUUUCAUGACAGGUUGCUGGAUUAGGCAUUUUGAUAAAAUACAAAGGCACACAGAGUACAGACUCCGGCU